GAAAGCGAUGCUAAUACCGAAUGAUAUCUCAAAAACUUCGGUUUUUGAGAUCAAAGGUGGCCGCUCCAUGGAAGCUACUGUUAGGAGAUGAGCCCGCGUACCAUUAGCUUGUUGGUAGGGUAAUGGCCUACCAAGGCACCGAUGGUUAGCUGGUCUGAGAGGAUGAUCAGCCACACUGGAACUGACACACGGUCCAGACUCCUACGGGAGGCAGCAGUGAGGAAUUUUGCGCAAUGGGGGAAACCCUGACGCAGCAACGCCGCGUGAGUGAUGAAGGCCUUCGGGUCGUAAAGCUCUGUCAAGUGGGAAGAACCUGCCCUGUGCUAAUAUCACCGGGCACUGACGGUACCACUGAAGGAAGCACCGGCUAACUCCGUGCCAGCAGCCGCGGUAACACGGGGGGUGCAAGCGUUAUUCGGAAUCACUGGGCGUAAAGAGCGCGUAGGCGGUCUCUUAAGUCAGAUGUGAAAGCCCGGGGCUCAACCCCGGAAGUGCAUUUGAAACGGAGGGACUUGAGUAUGGGAGAGGGAAGUGGAAUUCCUGGUGUAGCGGUG
Molecule: ribosomal RNA, 554 nt
Filed under: uncultured bacterium
Lineage: Bacteria
Description: bacterial SSU rRNA
Rfam family: Bacterial small subunit ribosomal RNA
Source: RNAcentral